AAUGAACGCUGGCGGCAGGCCUAACACAUGCAAGUCGAACGGGUCCUUCGGGACUAGUGGCGGACGGGUGAGUAACGCGUGGGAACAUACCCAAAGGUACGGAAUAGCCUCGGGAAACUGAGAGUAAUACCGUAUGUGCCCUUCGGGGGAAAGAUUUAUCGCCUUUGGAUUGGCCCGCGUUGGAUUAGGUAGUUGGUGGGGUAAUGGCCUACCAAGCCGACGAUCCAUAGCUGGUUUGAGAGGAUGAUCAGCCACACUGGGACUGAGACACGGCCCAGACUCCUACGGGAGGCAGCAGUGGGGAAUCUUAGACAAUGGGGGGAAACCCCUGAUCUAGCCAUGCCGCGUGAGCGAUGAAGGCCUAGGGUUGUAAAGCUCUUUCAGUGGGGAAGAUAAUGACGGUACCCACAGAAGAAGCCCCGCUAACUCCGUG
This 433-nucleotide ribosomal RNA is filed under the name uncultured bacterium. Its description in RNAcentral is "bacterial SSU rRNA". It matches the Rfam family "Bacterial small subunit ribosomal RNA", at positions 29 to 507 of the family's 1533-position model. The record is from RNAcentral.